AUCUCUGUAGAGUCUGCAUAUCAAUAAGCGGAGGAAAAGAAACUAACUAGGAUUCCCUCAGUAACGGCGAGUGAAGCGGGAAGAGCUCAAAUUUGAAAUCUUCAAGGUUCUACCUUGACGAAUUGUAGUUUAAAGAAGUGUUUUCUGUUGGAGUUUUGGUAAAAGUUCUUUGGAAUAGGACAUCAUAGAGGGUGAGAAUCCCGUAUUUGACCAUUAUUUCCAGCUCUGUGAUACACUUUCAAAGAGUCGGAUUGUUUGGGAACGCAGUCCAAAAUGGGUGGUAAAUUUCAUCUAAAGCUUAAUAUUGGCGGGAGACCGAUAGCGAACAAGUACCGUGAGGGAAAGAUGAAAAGAACUUUGAAAAGAGAGUUAAACAGUACGUGAAAUUGUCAAAAGGGAAGCGUUUGACACCAGUGUUGUUUUCUCGAAAAUCAAUUAAAAAAGGCAGGAUUUUGUGUUGUAUUGACUUUAUCAGCUUUCUGCACUCUUUUCUUGUCUUUUUUAAUGCACUUUUCGUUUAACAAGUCAACAUCAAUUUCUUUUGUUGUAAAAGGGUCAUUGGAAGGUGGCUUUCUUUUCGGAGAAAGUGUUUAUAGCCUUUGGCCUCUGCAAUCGGAGAGGAUUGAGGUCUGCAGCGUAGAUCCUUCGGGGUUAAGAAUAGCAUUUGUGCUAAGUUAUAGCCUUUUCAUAGACAACUUGUUGACUAUGAUCUGUCAUGUAGCUUACUCGCAUAUGCUAUUUUACCUACGCUUAGGAUGUUGACGAUCAGCUGAGCGCG
Molecule: ribosomal RNA, 778 nt
Filed under: uncultured Neocallimastigales
Lineage: Eukaryota; Fungi; Neocallimastigomycota; Neocallimastigomycetes; Neocallimastigales
Description: partial large subunit ribosomal RNA
Rfam family: Eukaryotic large subunit ribosomal RNA
Source: RNAcentral